ACUGCUCAGUAACACGUGGACAACCUGCCCUUAGGUUGGGUAUAAACCCGGGAAACUGGGUAUAAUACCCGAUAGGUCUCGAUUGCUGGAAUGCAUCGAGAUUUAAAGCUCCGGCGCCUAAGGAUGGUCUGCGGCCUAUCAGGUAGUAGUGGGUGUAGCGUACCUACUAGCCUACGACGGGUACGGGUUGUGAGAGCAAGAGCCCGGAGAUGGAUUCUGAGACACGAAUCCAGGCCCUACGGGGUGCAGCAGGCGCGAAAACUUUACAAUGCUGGCAACAGCGAUAAGGGAACCUCGAGUGCCAGGUUACAAAUCUGGCUGUCGAGAUGCCUAAAAAGCAUUUCAUAGCAAGGGCCGGGCAAGACCGGUGCCAGCCGCCGCGGUAACACCGGCGGCUCGAGUGGUAACCGUUAUUAUUGGGUCUAAAGGGUCUGUAGCCGGCCGGAUAAGUCUCUUGAGAAAUCUGGCAGCUUAACUGUCAGGCUUUCAGGAGAUACUGUCUGGCUCGAGGCCGGGAGAGGUGAGAGGUACUUCAGGGGUAGGGGUGAAAUCUUGUAAUCCUUGAAGGACCACCAGUGGCGAAGGCGUCUCACCAGAACGGACCUGACGGCAAGGGACGAAAGCUAGGGGCACGAACCGGAUUAGAUACCCGGGUAGUCCUAGCCGUAAACGAUACUCGCUAGGUGUCGGCCACGGUGCGACCGUUGUCGGUGCCGUAGGGAAGCCGUGAAGCGAGCCACCUGGGAAGUACGGCCGCAAGGCUGAAACUUAAAGGAAUUGGCGGGGGAGCAC
Molecule: ribosomal RNA, 792 nt
Filed under: uncultured Methanotrichaceae archaeon
Lineage: Archaea; Methanobacteriati; Methanobacteriota; Methanomicrobia; Methanotrichales; Methanotrichaceae
Description: bacterial SSU rRNA
Rfam family: Archaeal small subunit ribosomal RNA
Source: RNAcentral